GCGCAGGUAGCUCAACGGACCCAGAGCGACCGUCUUCUACACGGAGGGUUGGGGGUUCGAAUCCCUCCCUGCGCG
RNAcentral lists this transfer RNA (75 nucleotides) under Caulobacter phage Ccr29. Its description in RNAcentral is "tRNA-Arg". It matches the Rfam family "tRNA". From Rfam's summary of the family: Transfer RNA (tRNA) molecules are approximately 80 nucleotides in length. Their secondary structure includes four short double-helical elements and three loops (D, anti-codon, and T loops). Further hydrogen bonds mediate the characteristic L-shaped molecular structure. tRNAs have two regions of fundamental functional importance: the anti-codon, which is responsible for specific mRNA codon recognition, and the 3' end, to which the tRNAs corresponding amino acid is attached (by aminoacyl-tRNA synthetases). tRNAs cope with the degeneracy of the genetic code in two manners: having more than one tRNA (with a specific anti-codon) for a particular amino acid; and 'wobble' base-pairing, i.e. permitting non-standard base-pairing at the 3rd anti-codon position. The record is from RNAcentral. Lineage: Duplodnaviria; Heunggongvirae; Uroviricota; Caudoviricetes; Jeanschmidtviridae.